This is a long non-coding RNA of Pangasianodon hypophthalmus (striped catfish), 6316 nucleotides long. RefSeq lists it as uncharacterized. The record is from RefSeq and is a predicted model, not a curated record. The transcript is spliced from 6 exons. NCBI's taxonomy places the organism in Eukaryota, Metazoa, Chordata, Actinopteri, Siluriformes, Pangasiidae.
GCGGAGGAUUUUGUAUUCUCGUCUCUGAUUGGUCAGUUUGUGCAUUCAUUAUCAUUUCUCUUUUUGUGUGAACUGACGCGUAAGUCGCCUUUUUCUCUGCUAAUUUUAGUAUAAAACAAUAUAGUUCCCGUAUUUUACACUGGUUUAUUAUAGAAUAUUAAGAGACAGCAGCAUUUGCCGUCCUCGGGUUUACAGUUGUGUAGAAUGUCCCUGUUUGUUGUUUGCUGUUGUCGGUAUCGCUUCUCGGCCUUUUGGCUAAGAUCAAGUGUAGUAUCUGUUCUUAUCAGUUUAAUAUCUGAUACGUCCCCUACCCGGGGACCAUAUAUUAAAUUGAUUUUUGGAACAGGGAGAUGGAAUAGGGGCUUGCUCCGUCCACUCCACGCAUCGACCCGGUAUUGCAGUACUUCCGGGAACGGUGCACCCCUCUCUCUACUGUCAAAGAAAGAUACAGUCUGUGCAUCUGUCUGGCUGUGAUGUUCUCCAGUUCCAUGGAAGUUCGCGCUGUGCAGUUUGGUUGUGGAUUCCUGCAUUUGAGCUGUUUGUGAUCUCACUGACUUCACUGAAUGGUGUCUGUACUUUUACACAAAUCCUAAUUUAUCUCUGCCAUGAAAACCACACUCCCUACUCCGACUUUUGGCUGCAUUUUUAGAACCAAACUGUACCUGACAAACGCACAAUAAAGUCGUUUAUUUUCUGUAAACACACGUAGAGUUUAGUAAAUCUAAUCUGUCUUUAUUGGGCCAUCAGUCGAGGUCUCAUGAACUCCAAGGAAGCCUGAAUUAUAGCAUGUCAAAAGCAGAUUUAAAGGAUAAAUUAUAGUAUUUAUAGUAAGUAAACUAAAACCCAAAUCGUGGUCCUUGACACAACAAAAAGAUUUAUUUCGUGCGUGUGGCACCAGGUAUUUAAUCAGCGGCUCCAACUUGUAAUAUUACUGUUAUUAAAUUAAAUAUAAUAAAUUAAAACAACAAUCACAAUUUGUAAUAGACGGAACUAUGUAUCCGGAACUAUGUAUCCAGACUCCCAUUACCGGUCGGACAGAAAUUUCCGCUCUCAUGCGUGUUUGUUCAUAGACUGUGGUUAUAUAGUCACUUGUAAUUGCAUAAAGUUCACAGCGGCUUUUCUGCCCUGUCCCUUAUUUAUUCGCUAAAACAAUGAAUGGAAGUGAAAUGUCUUGUAGAGAAGUUGUUUUGUUUUGGCUGUAAGUUGCCGCCUGGGGGCGGGGCUAACUGUAAGCGGGUCUUUAAAACAACCUUCAUGAAAUUGGUGAAAAUAUUUUACUGACUCUUACUGCUUGUAGCAAAGCGCUCUUUCUUCUGGACUGACUAAUGUGAUUUUAGUGUACAUGUUUGGAUUAAAAAAGCAGUUUCCUGAACACUGUGGAUCUUAUUACAUAUUCAGCAGCAGUGCAUCAUGGGAAAUAUUGUAUUGUUUUGUUGCGAAGAAAAUAGACAACCACAUGGCUUUGUGUGUAAUAAAGGUUAGUCUUAUUUCUGCAGUGCUUUUAGACUGCAGUGUUUUAGCCUCAGAUGUUUGUGUAAUGAUUAGUGCUGUAUUCUUCACCAUGAUGGUAAACAGUGUGUGCUGCGGUGCAGUCGGUAGCCGAGGGUAAUGCAAUUCAUACUUACCUGGCAGGGGAGAUACCAUGAUCAAGAAGGUGGUUCACCCAGGGCGAGGCUCAGCCAUUGCACUCCGGUUGUGCUGACCCCUGCGAAUUCCCCAAAUGUGGGAAUCUCGACUGCAUAAUUUCUGGUAGUGGGGGACUGCGUUCGCGCUCUCCCCUGAUAUUCACUGUACUAAAAUUAGAUAAAGUAUUGCUAUUUUUCAAGUUUAUGUUGCUUGCGUCCCGGUUAGUCCGAUUAUGUGGUAACCCGGUGAAAUCAAGCAAGGUUGCAUGUACUUUACUGCUGGUUUAAAAAGCUACACUAGUGAGCAGAACAUGGCACUGCAACAUGCAGAAGUACAGCAUAAGAAACAACACACGACAGGUUGUGCUGUUAUAGGAAAACAAUCCAUGCCAGAGUCACCAGACAGAAGUUGUCAAUCUCGGACAAUUGCUUUUGUUUUUGUCUUGGUAGUGUCUGGUUUGUGCCAUAUAUUUUCGACUUUGUUGUAAUGGAUAUCACUGUGCUCCUAGGUAGGUUCAAAGCUUUGCUGAUCUUUUUCUAACCUUCUCCAGCUUUUUUUUUUUUUUUCCCCCCAACUUCCUCUCAAACUUUGUGGGCAGAUCCUUGAACUUCAUGACAGCAGGACUAGUCUCAUCUGCCAUUUUAACUGUGAGACUUCCUAAAGUCAGAGAUACACCAUAUUGCCAAAAGUUUUGGGACGUCUGCCUUUACAUGCACAUGAACUUUAAUGACAUCCCAUUCUUAAUCCGUAGGGUUUAAUAUGGCUUUGGCCCACUCUUUGCAGCUAUAACAGCUUCAACUCUUUUGGGAAGACUUUCCACAAGGUUUAGGAGUGUGUUUAUGGGAAUUUUUGACCAUUCUUCUAGAAGCGCAUUUGUGAGGUCAGUCCUGGCUCGCAGUCUCUGCUCUAAUUCAUCCCAAAGGUGUUCUAUCAGGUUGAGGUCAGGACUCUGUGCAUCCAUGUCUUUAUGGACCUUGCUUUGUGCACUGUUAUGCGGUCAUGUUGGAACAGGAAGGGGCACUUUACACUUGACACAAUGCAGUCAGGCAAGUACCGUUCUCCUGGCAACCGCCAAACCCAGACUCGUCCAUCAGAUUGCCAGACAGAUGCGUGAUUCGUCACUCCAGAGAACACGUCUCCACUGCUCUAGAGUCCAGUGGCGGCGUGCUUUACACCACUGCAUCCGACGCUUUGCAUUGCACUUGGCGAUGUAAGGCUUGGAUGCAGCUUCUCGGCCAUGGAAACCCAUUCCAUGAAGCUCUCUACACACUGUUCUUGAGCUAAUCUGAAGGCCACACGAAGUUUGGAAGCCUGUAGCUAUUGACUCUGAAGAAAGUUGGCGACUUCUGCGCACUGAGCGCCUCAGCAUGUGCUGACCCUGCUCUGUGAUUUUACGUGGCCUACCACUUCGUGGCUGAGUUGCUGUUGUUCCCAAUUGCUUCCACUUUGUUAUAAUACCACUAACAGUUGACCAUGGAAUAUUUAGUAGUGAGGAAAUUUCAUGAAUGGACUUAUUGCACAGGUGGCAACCUAUCACGGUACCACACUUGAAUUCCCUGAGCUCCUGAGAGCGACCCAUUCUUUCACAAAUGUUUGUAGAAGCAGUCUGCAUGCCUAGGUGCUUGAUUUUAUACACCUGUGGCCAUGGAAGUGAUUGGAACACCUGAAUUCAAUGAUUUGGAGGGGGUGUCCCAAAACUUUUGGCAAUAUAGUGUAUAUAUUGUGCAAGCAUACAACUGGACACAAGUGAACCCUGUUUAACAUGUUUAGUGUGAGCUCUCUGAAAUUAAAUACUGGACCUGAUUUAGACUGUUAAAAGAAAGCUAGGUGAAUAUUUAGCAAAUAAGCAGUUUGUAAACUUUCUAAUUUUUAAAUAAUUUGGAGUCCCUGUAUUACAUGCUUAAACAACAUAUUUAAACAUUAUUUUAAAAUAAUUAAACAUAAUCUCAACAUUGUCUCUAAAAUGACAGGAACACAUUACACUAAAUAAAUUUCUCUGCACUCUCAGUAGUUGGCCCGGGUGCAGUCACGCCAAAGCCUUCUGCGGUUUUGCCAUCCCUGUCUGCAGUCGCGCCCACGGCUUCUACAGUUUUAUUAUCCCCGAUUGCAGUCAUGCCACCCCAACCCACUGACUCCCCAGUUGAGCUGGAGGGUUGGGUGCGUCUGUGGGGAAAAUCCUAGUGGCAUCCCAUCAGCCGACAUCUCCUGGGUGAAAAGCGAUGGAGAGAGAGAGGGCUCUUCACCCCCAUUCAGGUGUACCGUGAUAACACCGGUGCACUGAAGAGGCCGGCGGGUACUGAAGUCAGACCGGGUGUGGUUUCACUUUACAGAACUUCCAGGCUACAUUAGUGGUGCUGUACCAACCGCACACGUUUUCUUCCGGAGUCGCGUGUUUGUGUGGCGGCCAGUUGGGGUGUGGAGGUUCUCUAUAUCUGUGAUGUAUCCAAUGUGGUAUACUAUGCUGACGGCGGUCUUGUGCUGUGUACCGUGCACCAAAGCAGCCAGAAGCGGGGAAGGUGGCAAGAUGUGUCGGUGGUUGGCAUGGGAUUCUGCUAUCAUGUGUCAACUCGGUGAAGCACACCAAGCCAUGUUCCCUGCUAUCCUGACAGACAAGCGUCGUGUGGACAAGAACGUGGUAAGACUUCUGUGGGACCGGACAGAACACACUUCAGACACACUUUUGAGGCUCCACCUCCUGCGAGAGAGCUGCUUCCUGCCCGUCUGCUCGGUCAUGCCUUCCUGCCGGCAGAGGCCAACAAUGUACGGGACUCCAAUUCUCUCCAAUUUUGGCACUGUGCUAAAAAUGAACUCCACUAAGAAGAAAUACAUUUGCAUGGCAGUACCAUCUAUAUCUCAGUCUGGAUCUAUCUUAAAAAAACUAUAAGGAAAAUCUUAAAGGAUGGACUCAGUCCAGAGGAGGAGGUGGUUGAGCCUGGCCAGCCUGACCCAGUUGAGGAUGACGAGGCGUACCAGAGUGACACAGAGGCAACUGACGACGUGGUGGCUUCUGUCCCAGCCCACAUAACCUUACCACUGAUGAGACCACUAUAGCUUGCCCUCCAGCCUUUGUGAGUAAUUUUGCGUUUACCUCUGCCAGAAUGCAAUACUAGCAUUUGCUUGUCUUUUUAGCCUGAGUGUUGGUUCUGUUCUCUGCUGAUGGAGAUUGGCCUGACUGAGAACAAGUUGAGCAUAACUACAGAAUAGAGGAACAAGCUCAUCGACACUUGGAAUGCCAUAGAGGAGCGUGACAAACAGCCACAAAAGUUUCAUCAUCAUCUUUUCAGCUUCAAAAAUGCACCAGCUCUGUGGGCUACGUGAAGUAUGUGGUUGACGAGCACAAAGCAGAACUCUCUAACCCGAGUGGAAAAAAUUACUGGAUAAAAAAACCAUCUGGCAGAGUAUGCAGAGAGCUUCCCGCAAGUGUCCAUAACCCUUGAGGCCAACACGGAUAAAUGUGUUUGUGUAUACGCUGGUCAAACUUCUCUGGCUGAGGUUACCUCACAAUACUACUGCGAGGCCUGGAAAAAAAACCAUCACAAAAGCCUAUGAGACAAUUCAACAUUGUAUAUUGGUGGAGGAUCCAGUUCUGAGCAAAGUGGUUAUUCCUUUACAAAAAAUCAACACCAAGACUGUCCGUGAUUUGAUCCAUCAUCAAGAGAGUCGACUCAACCUACAGUCAACAAAAAUGCCAUCCACUAUAUUAAAGACCAUGUCAGUCUCCUCAAAAGACAUACCUUCUGCACCAUGUCAGCCGUUGGUUCUCCCUCCACUUGACUACCCACAGACUGAGUAUGAACACAUUCCAAGCAAGGCAGGUACCUAGAUCUUGAAAGAAAGAACAGACAUUGUAAUGCCAGUUCCAAGGACUUCAACCCAGUCAGAACACCCUCACUUACCACUGCUGGUGAGAAGACCUGUUGGAACUGAAAGGAAAACUCUGGCCACUUCCACCAUCACCAAACUUCUGCCUACAAUCACUUCAACUACCACAACUACACAAGUGAUUCCAGACACUUCCACCAAUGCAGGACCUGUGACAAUAUCCACCAGCCAAACUGACACAUCACACAGAGCUGGCACCCCUUCUCUCUGUGCCAGAGCUACACUGUACAAAAGAAAACAUACAGAGAACCUCACUCAUGGUGGAGCCAAGCUGUCACGUGUACACAACUUGCCCAUUUGUAAACUUUGCAACCGACCAACUCAGGGGCACAAAAAAUACAAAAAGAAGACUUUUUGCCCUCUGAAAAUGAUGUCUACCUCAAAAGGAUUGGAAAACAAAGUGUACACGAGUUAUGAACAUUUCACCACGGUUGUAGACACACAGGAGUAAACUUGCAAUUGUUAAUGUGGACUUCUACUUGGACUACAGUGCUAGAACUAGUAUUGUGGCCUUUACUACUACUGUAGGAACGUUAAUGUGUCAUGAUGUUCCUUUUAAAAGGGUUGCACUGAUUUUAUUGAAUGCUGUAUUUGUUUUUCUUCAGUAUUUUCUAUUAGUGUAUUUAAAAUGUUCAUUUAUUUGAUCAAAGUCCGAUUUACAUGUGUGCGUUAAAUACUAUGUUCUUAUUUGAUUUUUUUCUAUUGCUGUGACGUGAUUAUCAUCACAGUGCCAGAUUUAUGGGUUUCUAUUGAAUAUUGUAUAAAAAUUUAUAUUCUUGUUCAGUAUUUUGUAUUAUUGUUCAAUAAA